This 472-nucleotide ribosomal RNA is filed under the name uncultured bacterium. RNAcentral's name for it is "bacterial SSU rRNA". It matches the Rfam family "Bacterial small subunit ribosomal RNA", at positions 329 to 793 of the family's 1533-position model. The record is from RNAcentral.
GCAGAGCAUCCUACGGGAGGCAGCAGUGGGGAAUAUUGCACAAUGGGCGCAAGCCUGAUGCAGCCAUGCCGCGUGUAUGAAGAAGGCCUUCGGGUUGUAAAGUACUUUCAGCAGUGAGGAAGGUGGGUAUGUUAAUAGCAUACUCAUUUGACGUUAGCUGCAGAAGAAGCACCGGCUAACUCCGUGCCAGCAGCCGCGGUAAUACGGAGGGUGCGAGCGUUAAUCGGAAUUACUGGGCGUAAAGCGCAUGCAGGUGGUUUGUUAAGUCAGAUGUGAAAGCCCGGGGCUCAACCUCGGAAUUGCAUUUGAAACUGGCAAACUAGAGUACUGUAGAGGGGGUAGAAUUUCAGGUGUAGCGGUGAAAUGCGUAGAGAUCUGAAGGAAUACCGGUGGCGAAGGCGGCCCCCUGGACAGAUACUGACACUCAGAUGCGAAAGCGUGGGGAGCAAACAGGAUUAGAUACCCCUGGUAG